Molecule: microRNA, 21 nt
Filed under: Corchorus olitorius
Lineage: Eukaryota; Viridiplantae; Streptophyta; Magnoliopsida; Malvales; Malvaceae
Description: odi-miR-2
Source: RNAcentral
UGUCAUGGAAUUGUUGUCUUG